GAUGAACGCUGGCGGCGUGCCUAAUACAUGCAAGUCGAGCGAACAGACGAGGAGCUUGCUCCUCUGACGUUAGCGGCGGACGGGUGAGUAACACGUGGAUAACCUACCUAUAAGACUGGGAUAACUUCGGGAAACCGGAGCUAAUACCGGAUAAUAUAUUGAACCGCAUGGUUCAAUAGUGAAAGACGGUUUUGCUGUCACUUAUAGAUGGAUCCCGGCCGCAUUAGCUAGUUGGUAAGGUAACGGCUUACCAAGGCAACGAUGCGUAGCCGACCUGAGAGGGUGAUCGGCCACACUAGAACUGAGACACGGUCCAGACUCCUAAGGGAGGCAGCAGUAGGGAAUCUUCCGCAAUGGGCGAAAGCCUGACGGAGCAACGCCGCGUGAGUGAUGAAGGUCUUCGGAUCGUAAAACUCUGUUAUUAGGGAAGAACAAAUGUGUAAGUAACUAUGCACGUCUUGACGGUACCUAAUCAGAAAGCCACGGCUAACUACGUG
Molecule: ribosomal RNA, 497 nt
Filed under: uncultured bacterium
Lineage: Bacteria
Description: partial 16S ribosomal RNA
Rfam family: Bacterial small subunit ribosomal RNA
Source: RNAcentral